CUUCUCAAAUUGGCCAUUAACACCUAUAAAAGGAGGGUCUCUGUAACCCUAAUUCAUUCAUUGAUUUCUCAUCUCCUCAGAUUCCUCAAAAAAAACCUCUCAAGAUGCAGAUCUUUGUCAAAACCCUCACCGGAAAGACUAUCACCCUUGAGGUGGAAAGCUCAGACACCAUUGACAACGUUAAAGCCAAGAUCCAGGACAAGGAAGGUAUUCCCCCGGACCAGCAGAGGCUGAUCUUUGCAGGCAAGCAACUUGAAGACGGCCGUACUCUAGCCGAUUACAAUAUUCAGAAGGAGUCAACUCUCCACUUGGUGCUCCGUCUUCGUGGUGGGAUGCAGAUCUUUGUCAAAACCCUCACUGGAAAGACAAUCACCCUCGAGGUGGAAAGCUCAGACACCAUUGACAAUGUUAAGGCUAAGAUCCAGGACAAGGAAGGCAUCCCCCCAGACCAGCAAAGGCUGAUCUUUGCCGGCAAGCAACUUGAAGACGGCCGGACCCUCGCUGAUUACAACAUUCAAAAAGAGUCCACUCUUCACUUGGUGCUCCGUCUUCGUGGUGGAAUGCAAAUUUUCGUGAAGACUUUGACAGGAAAGACCAUCACCCUUGAGGUUGAAAGCUCCGACACCAUUGACAAUGUUAAGGCUAAGAUCCAGGACAAGGAAGGCAUUCCCCCAGACCAGCAAAGGCUGAUCUUUGCCGGCAAGCAGCUUGAGGAUGGCCGGACCCUUGCUGAUUACAACAUCCAGAAGGAGUCAACCCUUCACUUGGUCCUUCGUCUUCGCGGUGGGAUGCAAAUCUUUGUGAAGACCUUGACUGGCAAGACUAUUACCCUUGAGGUGGAAAGUUCUGACACCAUUGACAAUGUUAAGGCCAAAAUUCAGGACAAAGAAGGUAUUCCACCAGACCAGCAGAGGUUGAUCUUUGCCGGAAAGCAGCUUGAGGAUGGCCGUACCCUUGCUGAUUACAACAUCCAGAAGGAGUCCACCCUUCACUUGGUCCUUCGUCUUCGCGGUGGGAUGCAAAUCUUCGUGAAGACCUUGACUGGCAAGACUAUUACCCUUGAGGUGGAAAGCUCCGACACCAUUGACAACGUUAAGGCAAAGAUUCAGGACAAAGAGGGUAUCCCACCAGAUCAGCAAAGGUUGAUUUUUGCUGGCAAGCAGUUGGAAGAUGGAAGGACAUUAGCCGAUUACAAUAUUCAGAAGGAAUCGACCCUUCAUCUUGUGUUGAGACUCAGGGGAGGUAUGCAGAUUUUUGUGAAGACCUUGACUGGGAAAACCAUCACUUUGGAGGUGGAGAGCUCUGAUACUAUUGACAACGUUAAGGCCAAGAUUCAGGACAAGGAGGGAAUCCCACCGGACCAGCAGAGGCUGAUCUUUGCAGGGAAGCAGCUCGAAGAUGGUAGGACUUUGGCGGACUACAACAUCNAGUUCUGAUACCAUUGACAAUGUGAAGGCUAAGAUUCAGGACAAGGAGGGAAUCCCACCGGACCAGCAGAGGCUGAUCUUUGCAGGGAAGCAGCUUGAAGAUGGAAGGACUCUGGCGGACUACAACAUCCAAAAAGAGUCUACUCUGCACCUUGUCCUCCGUCUCCGUGGAAAAAAUUGCGAUCUCGAUGUGGACGUCAGCGACACCAUUGACAAUGUAAAGGCUAAGAUCCAGGAAAAGGAAGGCAUUCCCCCAGACAAGCAGAGGUUGAUCUUUGAAGGCAAGCAGCUUGAAGAUGGUCAUCCCCUCUUUGGGUACAACAUCAAAAACGGGUCCACUCUCACCUUGGUGCUCCCUCUUCAUGGUGGAAUGCAGAUUUCCGUGAAGACUUUGACUGGAAAGACGAUCACCCUUGAAGUGGAAAGUUCAGACACCAUUGACAACGUUAAGGCUAAGAUCCAGGACAAGGAGGGCAUCCCUCCAGACCAGCAGAGACUGAUCUUUGCCGGAAAACAGCUUGAAGAUGGCCGUACUCUCGCUGAUUACAAUAUCCAGAAGGAGUCCACUCUUCACUUGGUGCUCCGUCUUCGCGGUGGGAUGCAGAUAUUUGUUAAAACCCUCACUGGAAAGACAAUUACCCUUGAGGUUGAAAGCUCCGACACCAUUGACAACGUUAAAGCCAAGAUCCAGGACAAGGAAGGCAUUCCCCCAGACCAGCAAAGGUUGAUCUUUGCUGGAAAGCAGCUUGAGGAUGGCCGGACCCUUGCUGAUUACAAUAUCCAGAAGGAGUCAACUCUUCACUUGGUCCUCCGUCUCCGUGGUGGAAUGCAGAUCUUUGUCAAAACCUUGACUGGCAAGACUAUUACACUUGAGGUUGAGAGCUCCGACACAAUCGACAAUGUUAAGGCCAAGAUUCAGGACAAAGAGGGUAUCCCACCAGACCAGCAGAGGUUGAUCUUUGCCGGAAAGCAGCUUGAGGACGGUCGUACCCUUGCUGAUUACAACAUCCAGAAGGAAUCCACCCUUCACUUGGUCCUCCGUCUUCGCGGUGGGAUGCAAAUCUUUGUCAAAACCUUGACUGGCAAGACUAUUACUCUCGAGGUGGAAAGCUCUGACACCAUUGACAAUGUUAAGGCCAAGAUUCAGGACAAAGAGGGCAUCCCUCCAGACCAGCAAAGGUUGAUUUUUGCUGGUAAGCAGUUGGAAGAUGGAAGGACACUGGCCGAUUACAAUAUUCAGAAGGAAUCGACCCUUCAUCUUGUGUUGAGGCUCAGGGGAGGUAUGCAGAUUUUUGUGAAGACCUUGACUGGGAAAACCAUCACUUUGGAGGUGGAGAGUUCUGAUACUAUUGACAACGUUAAGGCAAAGAUUCAGGACAAGGAGGGAAUCCCACCAGAUCAGCAGAGGCUGAUCUUUGCAGGGAAGCAGCUCGAAGAUGGUAGGACUUUGGCUGACUACAACAUCCAAAAGGAGUCUACUUUGCACCUUGUCCUCCGUCUCCGUGGUGGUUUUUAGAGGGGUGUGUUGUCAAUGGUAGUGCCUGUGUCUUUGGUCAGUUUGCAGCAGUGUUUUGUUCAUGAACUAGUUUGUUUCCAUUUGUGAUCUUGUGAUGUUUCCCAACAGAUCAUAAACUUUCAUGUUUCUCUUUUAGUGAAUAAUAAUGUCAACAUUUUGAUGUUAAAAA
Molecule: RNA transcript, 3112 nt
Organism: Solanum stenotomum
Lineage: Eukaryota; Viridiplantae; Streptophyta; Magnoliopsida; Solanales; Solanaceae
Exons: 4
Source: RefSeq, a predicted model, not a curated record